This 5350-nucleotide long non-coding RNA is filed under the name Sus scrofa (pig). Its description in RNAcentral is "lncRNA (ENSSSCG00000061971.1)". Lineage: Eukaryota; Metazoa; Chordata; Mammalia; Artiodactyla; Suidae. The record is from RNAcentral.
CCAUCUGCACAUAGUUGAACAACCCUACAGAGAGGGAACAGAGUGAAACUUCCCACCCAUUUAGGAUUGACCUCCCAGUGCAGCCUGCUUCAGGAGGGCCACCCAGCAAACCAAGGUGAUGCAGAAUGUUGGGGACUAGCACUCACAUUGUUCUAUCAGAUCACUGUGCAAUUAAUAACCUUUUGAGGUUCCUUGAGGCAUCACAUUGUCUUAAAUGCCAACAAAUACAUGUCCACAUGUUUCCAAGUUUGGAAAGCCAAGUGCAGGCUGAAUGAUAGUCUUCCAGCUCUGCAGGCUCCCUCUGUUUUCCUUAGAGGCUUUACCAAGAAAACCAAUGACUGUCAAAGACUCCCUUUACUUCUCUUGGCCUGAAUGGCUACAUGAUAUUACUUGUUUAUAGUCCAUUAGCCGUUGAAAACUGCUCAGAACGUCAGGGGGGCAGAAGAGCUGCCUCCGGGAUCCAUCUCUGCUUUUAGUAGGAAGGCCUAAUUGGAGAGAAAAGUACUAUUUAAAUAACCAUCUCCAUGGAAAACAAAUAAGGUUGAAAGACCACGAUUUCAGUGUAGGCUUUGCUUUUUUCUUUUCUUUCUUCUUUUUUAAAUGUCCUAUAAUUGAAAAAUACCAAGCUUAACUUUAUCCCUGCCAUCCCUCUUACACAAACUGGGCCCGCAGGCAAUAAGCUGCCCAAGUAAGCAAAUACUAUACUUAGUUUGGCAGCUGAGAUUUUCUUAUAAAAAAAAAAUACAAUUCCAGCUGAAUAGCUCCUUUCUGUGACUCCUCUAGUUUCACACUUGGUUGAGGUGAACAGGGUGUAUUCAGGUUAAUGGCAAAUUGGAAUCUGGGUUCUCAACAAAGAGCCUUUACAUGACUGCCCAGGGCACAGAAACUGUGAGGCUCUGGAAGCCAUGGAAACUGUGCAAACACCAAAACAAGACCCAAAAUCAAUUGAAUUGUUGUUGGUCUGACAUCCCCAAGGAAUCUAUAAACCUGUAUCCUGAUAUUAUGAUAUUGAUUUUUUUUCAAUUAUCCUAAUACUCUACAAGUUCUCCUUGAAAUCAAAGUGAAAGGGAAUUUCUUUCCAACCUCAGUAAGGAUAUUGUGUGAUUAUUUUCAAGCCAAAAAGGGAAUAGGGACAAGUUGAAGGUUACAAACUGCUGUAGUAGACUGUCUAAGAUAGGCACCAAGCAAAAUAAAUAAGCAGACGAAGUCUUCUAAAUGGCAAAGUGGAGGGGUCAUUUGGUUUUCUCCUAAGAGAAUACCCUCAUUGAACCUGGGGAUAACAGCAGUGUGGAAACUCCAGGGGAUCUUUCCAGCUCCUCUGACCUAAAUGCAAGGCCUGGAACACCCACAUGCCUGCUUCUCCUGAGGUGGAAAACCAACUCUUUCAUCCCAGAGUCACUCUAAUCCUGGGCAGUUAGCAAAGAUCGCUGGAAACAAAGUAUCAGUGGAGCUGAGGCAGUGUACCAGUGAGGACCAGCCAACACCAUUGAGUAAUCAUCAUUCAUAUGACUUUGUUUACACCCAGGCUGGGGGGAGGCCUAGGGAAACUCUGGUGAUGAGGGUAAAACCAAUCUUAGACAUCAGUUAUAAAAUCCUAGUGUUCCAUGAACGAUGCUAGCAGCUUGAUAUUUACCAUGUCAUUGAAAACACACAAAACUCUGUCUUCUACUCUACAGCAUCAAAUCCAAAAUCUUUGGAGGCUGACCUGUUACUUGAAGUUCCAAGUUGCCUUUUGCCUUCCAUGUCCCUUUUCUUAUUUCCCUGAUCAUUAGGUAGGAGUUACUACCAGCUCAGACAAUGUAAAUCUGUUUGCCGACAGGCUCUUAAACAUAGAAUAGUGGCAGAUGUUACGUGUGUCAUGGGCAGCCUGAGGAGUGAGAAGGAAGGAGUCUCUGUGUAGAAUCUCCCUCAACCUCUUUAUUUUAAAGAGAAGGUAUUUGGUUGAUGAACUGUUUUGACUUUCAAGAGACCCUGGACAUUUAUAAAAACUAAGCAUUUUAGAAACAAGUGGCUCUAAGAAAUUCUCUCUAAGCAAACUCUAGUUAUAUCUGGGGAUAAUUUUCUUAGGUGAAAGCCAGUUCGGGAUUGUCAGGCACAUCCUCCAAUGCCAGACUCCAUGGUAAAACCCUGUCUCAUAUCCACUUCAUUCCAGGGAACAUAACAGAGUGGCCACAGUAGGGAAAUGGCUCUGGCAUGGUACCCUGGCAACUCUGCACACCUUGAGGCCACACGGGCAAGGCUACCUGUGCCUUGUUGGAAUGCCUUGAGAUCAUCCCAAGAACAUGGCAAGGUGGGCAGUUUGUGAGAAGCUGUCACAGACCACUUUGUCCACCUUCCCAUCUCAUAGCAAGUGUUCGCGAAACAUUUUUUUCAGCCUCGGACUUUCUACCUGGCCCCUCCUUGGGGGAUAGCUACAGCCUAUAAAGUGAAUUCACUGCCCUCUAGAAUUGAUGCCCCACCACUGAUGUUGACUGUCCCUCAGCUCCUUUUGCUUUGGUGUUGUCCUUGGGACAAGGGAGCUGACUGGAAAGUAAACUGUCCUAGUCCACUGGAGUCUUUACUUGCCAACACUAUGGCAGAGUGGCAGCUCACCUGGCCAGGCAGUGACCCCUGUUGCACAGGGCCAGUCUGACCAGUUGACAGUAGCCGCUUUUCUUUUUCCCGGAUGCCCUAGAAAGCCCUCUCUACCCCAAUACUGUCCCCCGAGAGGUUUCUGGAUACCCCUGACCCUGCAUGUCCACAGUAAUGAUGAGCUCCACCCCAGUCACCUGCUCCGGCGGCAAAUGAUCUAUGUGCCAGUGAUUGGGGCACUUUUUCUCACCAAGGAGCAAAGUGCAGAACAAAUUCCCUCUUUAGGUCUAUGAAUGUUUGCUGUUACACCCCACCUUCACCACACCUGAGUGGUGCCCUGGCAGCCUUUGGGCACAGAUGAUGCAGAGGUGUUGCCGGGGCAGGUCAGGUAGGAGUGACACGUGCAGAGAGAUUCUGAGGCCAAGGCCCCUAAAAUUGAUUCGUGAUGUGUGUGGUGGGAGACGGAUGAGGUGGUGUCAACUCUCACAGCUGGUAUUCACCCCUCUCCAUGGUUUAAGGAGCAAGGCUGCAUCUUGACAAAGCAUGCCUGGGGAAUUAAAAGGGAGCUUUCUUAGCUUUUCCUCCUGAAUCUGGCACUGCCUAUAAAUUCUCUUAAAUAAAUCUAUUUUCUGGAAAAAAUUAGGAAUGGAGAAAAUUAGGUUUACUUUAGUUUGACUCCUUUUCUAAGGAGGUUUCUAAAUAAAUCACCUGGAAACAUUCAGAUUAUGAAGGUUUCUACAACAAGAGGUCUUUGUAAUGUGUUGCUUUUGGUUACCAGGUCCAGAAUUCUCCACAGCGAAGUUUCUCUCUGCAUGCCAGGCACUAUUAACAGCUGCCCGAGGUUUGCAGGGGUGGCAAUGAGGAGAAAGGGGAGAAACUGGCCUUCUGAGGGGCUUCCAUGUGCCUGGCACUAUCUCUGAGGGACUUAAUUGGGAUAAGAGAUCUGAAAGCAUCACCUUUAGAGGGAAAAACAGAGGCUCCGAGUUGCUAUUUGUCCCAGAGUUACACAUCUGAUAAAUGGCACAUUCAAACCCAAGUUUUUCUCAGAAGAAAAAAAAUUUAAGUAAACACAAUAUAAUUUUAGUAAAUACAGUAAGGUUAUGCAGCAAUAUUUUGGAGAAAACAGCAAUCAUUUAAGGUUUGCUCUUCAAUGAAGGAAAGAGAAAGCCAAGAAGUUAAAAAGCCAUGGAACAAAUUAAACUGAAGCCAUAAAGAAGGUUCAAAUUUAUAAAUUCUGAAUAACAGGCGGUGAAGAUGAAAGAAGGAUGUCCAAAGUGCAAAGCUGGAAGGACAGAAUUAUUUAAAGAAAUACUGUUUUAGAAUUUUCAAGUCCAGUAUAUAUGGAAACUUCUCAAAUGACUAGGUAAGAACAACUUUCUGGAAGAACAAAGAAAUCCUGUGCUUUUUCCUCACGGAAGAACACACUGGGUUUUCCUUAAUUUUGAAAACUGGUCAUCAGCAUGUGGGAAAAUAGGUAUUUCUUGAUACCCAGAGACUGCUCUUGUGAUUUUCCCUCCUUGAUCUGUUUGGGCAGGAGUUUGUCUGAAGAACCUGCCAGAACAGCUUUCCUUUUAUUCAUCGUCUCAAAAAGAUAAACCUCUGUUUUCACUGGUUUUUCUCUCUUGUUUUUCUGUCUUACAUUUUAUUGAUUCCUGCUCUUAUUUUUAUCAUUCCCUUUGUUCUCUUUGCUUUGGGUUUACUUUGUCCUGCUUUGUCUGGUGUCCCAGUGUGAAGGUUGAGAUCAAGUUGAGAGCUUUCUUCUUUUCCCGUAUGAGAGUUUAGUGCUACAUACAUUUCCCUCUAAGCACUCUUUAGGUGCCUCUCAUAAAUUUUGGUAUGUUUUCAUUUUCAUUCGGUUCAAGAUACUUCUUUUCCCCAAUAUUUUAUUUUAUUUAUUUAUUUAUUUUUGUCUUUUUGCCAUUUCUAGGGCCGAUCCCUUGGCAUGUGGAGGUUCCCAGGCUAGGGGUCGAAUUGGAGCUGUAGCCACCAGCCUACGCCAGAGCCACAGCAACGCGGGAUCCAAGCCGCGUCUGCAACCUACAGCACAGCUCACAGCAACGCGGAUCCUUAACCCACUGAGCAAGGGCAGGGAUUGAACCCACAACCUCAUGGCUCCUAGUUGGAUUCGUUAACCACUGAGCCACGAUGGGAACUCCCCCCCAAUAUUUUAAAAUAAACUUUUUUAAGAACAUAACAAAGUUGAACAGAUUCAUAACAAAGCUGAACAGAAAGUAUAGAGAUGUUCACUAUACCUGAGGUCCGCCCCACCCUGACACAGCCUCCCUUCUCCUUCGAUCUCCCCCACCAGAGUGGUACACUUAUUAUAAUGGAUGAGUCCACACUGACACAUCACUAUUACCCAAAGCUCAUGGUUUACAUUAGGGUUCACCCUUGGCAUUGUACAUUCUGUGGGUUUUGACAAAUGUAUAAUGAUGCAUAUCCACCAUUAUGGUAUCACACCAAUAGUUUCUCUGCCCUAAAAAUCCUCUGUGCUUUACCUCCCUCCACUACAAUCCCUGGAAACCACUGGUCUUUUUCCCGUCUCUAUAGUUUUCAGAAUGUCACAGUUGGAAUUACACAGUAUAUAGCCUUUUCAGAUUGGUUUCUUUCACUUAGUAAUAUGAAUUUGUUUCCACCUUGUCUUUUCAUCACUUGAUAGCUCAUUUCUUUUUUUGCUGAAUAAUAUUCCAUUGUUUGGAUGUGCCACAGUUUACUUAUCCAUUUACCUACUGAAAGACAUCUUGGUUGCUUGCAAGUUUUGGCAAUUAUGAAUAAAGCU